RNAcentral lists this ribosomal RNA (241 nucleotides) under Bacillus paralicheniformis. RNAcentral's name for it is "partial 23S ribosomal RNA". It matches the Rfam family "Bacterial large subunit ribosomal RNA", at positions 2685 to 2925 of the family's 2925-position model. The record is from RNAcentral. Lineage: Bacteria; Bacillati; Bacillota; Bacilli; Caryophanales; Bacillaceae.
GAGAGGACCGGGAUGGACGCACCGCUGGUGUACCAGUUGUUCUGCCAAGGGCAUCGCUGGGUAGCUAUGUGCGGACGGGAUAAGUGCUGAAAGCAUCUAAGCAUGAAGCCCCCCUCAAGAUGAGAUUUCCCAUUCCGCAAGGAAGUAAGGUCCCUGAAAGAUGAUCAGGUUGAUAGGUCUGAGGUGGAAGUGUGGCGACACAUGGAGCUGACAGAUACUAAUCGAUCGAGGACUUAACCUA